RNAcentral lists this ribosomal RNA (356 nucleotides) under Clostridioides difficile. RNAcentral describes it as "bacterial LSU rRNA". It matches the Rfam family "Bacterial large subunit ribosomal RNA", at positions 2497 to 2855 of the family's 2925-position model. Lineage: Bacteria; Bacillati; Bacillota; Clostridia; Peptostreptococcales; Peptostreptococcaceae. The record is from RNAcentral.
AGUCCACAUCGACGGGGAGGUUUGGCACCUCGAUGUCGGCUCAUCACAUCCUGGGGCUGUAGUAGGUCCCAAGGGUUGGGCUGUUCGCCCAUUAAAGUGGUACGCGAGCUGGGUUCAGAACGUCGUGGGACAGUUCGGUCCCUAUCCGUCGCAGGCGUAGGAAAUUUGAGAAGACCUGUCCUUAGUACGAGAGGACCGGGAUGGACGUACCUCUGGUGUACCAGUUGUUCUGCCAAGGGCAUGGCUGGGUAGCUAUGUACGGAAUGGAUAAGCGCUGAAAGCAUCUAAGCGCGAAGCCAACUUCAAGAUAAGAUUUCCCACCGCAAGGGUAAGACCCCAGAAAGACUAUCUGGUUG